UAUAAAUUGAUUACAUUGGUUAUCAUUGAUGUUUAAGCGCUAAAUAUGUCAUUGUAAAAUGUUUACAUUGGUUACGUUCUCAAUAUGUUAUUGUAAUAUGUCCACAUUGGUCAUCUUCAAAAGCUUAAUUUCUGUGUCAUAAACAAGAGUGUUAUUAGAUGGUUUUGGAACCAAACCACAGUGAAGAACAUAAGGUUUUAUGUAACUGUGAUAUUUAUUACUGCUCCUUUUCUGGUGUACAACAUGUAUUCAUGCCCUCUAAUUGUAUGGGUCUUCUAACAUUGUUUAUGGUAAUAACCUUUUGAUUCAGGUAUUUGCCCUUCUCUUAUGCUCCAGCCACCUAUGAAAAUAGGCACACUUGUAGGCUGAUAUAUUUUCCUUAGAUGAUGUCCUAUAAAAAGAUAGCUACUCAGGGAUCCAACCACAACAGCAACUAUCAUUGGCAAUAAUAACAGUUUAACUAUAUUUUUAUUCCAAAAUGCUUAUAUCCAGGUAAAAUUAUAAUAGUUGAGUUCACUACUCCUCUUACAAUGCUAAUGUUAUUGAUCUUCUCUUCUGGGUGUUCAACAACCAAAUUUAGAGACCAAAACUGAAGAGGUAUUUGGGCUAAGAAGGCAGCCAAUAUUUUGGCCCUGGCCCUCCAAGGUCAACAACAAUAACAAAAAGAUCCAGGACAUGAGGGAACCAUCUCUGAGAUCCUGCAUUUUUGGUGAGUCAUCCAACCUCCUGAGCAGGGAGGUUGCUGAACACCAAAACAGUAAAGAUCCAACAAAAAGUGUGCCAAAGGAAUGUCACCUGGAGGAAAAAAAUCUCCCAUGCUUUCGCAGGAAGCAACAUGGUCAAGCAAGGCCGUGACAUAUCCUUAUGGCUGACACUGACAGAGGAGCUAAGAGGCUCUAUGCAUGGUUCCAAGACAGUGCCUGUGGAGACUUAAUUGACCUUGUUAGAUAACAAGAGAUUGAUUUUAUUUAAUAUAGGUCUCACCGUAACUUGGUCUUAAACACCCAGUAGAAAAGUAUAACUAAAGAC
This 1029-nucleotide long non-coding RNA is filed under the name Heterocephalus glaber (naked mole-rat). RNAcentral's name for it is "lncRNA (ENSHGLG00100039871.1)". Lineage: Eukaryota; Metazoa; Chordata; Mammalia; Rodentia; Bathyergidae. The record is from RNAcentral.